AUAUUUCUAGUUAUAGAAAUCUAUUUAGAGAAUUCUAUUUUAGGGAAUCCGCCAUUUUAGAAAAUUUCUAUUUUAGGAAAGUUUCUAUUUUGGGAAAGUUUCUAUUUUAGGAAAAUUUCUAUUUUGGGAAAGUUUCUAUUUUAGGAAAGUUUCCAAAAAUGGAAACUUUAUUUCUUGAGACUCUGCGCCUAAGUCGUUGACUCUUGUGUUGCAGUUGAUCUCAGUUGACCAUCUUCCGUUGUUCUUUCCGGUCAGUUGCUAAGGUGAGGGCUAUUCCGUUAAAUCCUGAGCUAGUUUAGUACUAUUAUUAUUGAAAGUCUAGUUUCGAAACAUGAUCCGUCUUUGUGAAUCGAGUAUGUUUGAAAGUCUUGGUUGCUUAUUAUUAAUUUGAUUGUUAAACUGGAAAUAGGAUAAUAGAGGAUUCAACGAUUGUGUGAAAUGAUUGAUGUUAAAGACUGUUAUAUAUAUGUAUAUAUCUAGUUAUAUAGUAAGGACUAUGUGGUGAGUGCGGGGGCCCAGAGUGAUUUGGGCUAGCGACGCAUAUGAGUACGGGGGCCCAGAGAAAUCUGAGCUAGCGACGUAUAGAGUGCGGGGGCACAGAGACAUCUGAGCUAGCGACGCAUAGUGGAUGAGUACGGGGGCCCAGAGACGUCUGAGCUAGCGACGUAUAUUGUGUGGUGCGGGGUGCAGAGACGUUUGCAUAUCGACGCAUAUUGGUGGAGUGCGGGGGUCCAGAGAUGUCUGGACUAUCGACGCAUAUUAUGAUAUCGUAUAUCCGUAUGAGGAGAACGCAGGGUGUGUGGACUAGCUAUGUACCAUCAGCGUAUUGUUUGUUUUGUGUGAUGUGCUAGGCAUCUUGUCUGUUCAUGCUAGAGCUACUCUUACAUAGUCGUAGUGCUAUGUACUGAGUCUGUGGUUUGCGGGUUAGCAUCCCAUACCUCACUGAGUGACUCCCCUGUUGCUCAUCCCUCUUUCUUUUCUCUUUCAGGUGAGCCUGGCAGACAGGAGUGAUUGCUUUCGGAUUGGUGCAUUUGGAAGUUUAUUUCUUAUUUUCAGACUUUCGGUUUUUAGCUUUUAUCUAUAUUUUCCAGGAUUUAUGCUAUUAUUGGAUUUAUGUUUAUUUAUUGGAUUUAUGAUGAGUAAUAAAUGAAGAUUUUGGAGAUUUUUAUUUAUUAUAUUAUUUUAGAAAAUCGGGGUAUUACAAUUUGGUAUCAGAGCGGGGUUCCGUCCUGGCUCUGACCCGGGACGGCGAUUUAUGGGACUCGGAUUUCAGUGAUUUUUCAAUGUUUUGGGAUUGGGAGUUUUUGAAAAAAAAAAUGCACCCUUCUGCCGAGCAUCAUUCGGUUAGUCAUUAGAGAUUCUGAUUUUCUUUUCUUCUGCAGGUGAAGACCAAGUUUCUUUCGUUUCCAUCGUCUAUUACCUUUUAUCUUUCUUUUCUUCGAAGCUGUGGACGUUCUUUCUUCAUCUCUUUGGAAUUCGGGACGAAUUCUGAUUAAGUGGGGGAGAAUUGUAACGACCCGGAUCUUAGGAGUGAGCCUGGCAGACAGGAGUGAUUGCUUUCGGAUUGGUGCUUUUGGGCGUUUUCUUUAUUUCUAUUCCAGAUUUUCGGUUUUGUGCUUUACCGAGAUUUUUAGAUUUAUUAUACUAUUUGAAUUUAAUGCUAUUUAUUGGAUUUAUGGAGAUUUGAGAUUAUUUAUGUGGAGUAAUAAAUGGAGAUUUCAGGAUUAUU
Long non-coding RNA from Raphanus sativus (radish), 1729 nucleotides. RefSeq lists it as uncharacterized. The transcript has 2 exons. The record is from RefSeq and is a predicted model, not a curated record. NCBI's taxonomy places the organism in Eukaryota, Viridiplantae, Streptophyta, Magnoliopsida, Brassicales, Brassicaceae.